Molecule: ribosomal RNA, 437 nt
Filed under: uncultured bacterium
Lineage: Bacteria
Description: partial 16S ribosomal RNA
Rfam family: Bacterial small subunit ribosomal RNA
Source: RNAcentral
UGGGGAAUUUUGGACAAUGGGCGCAAGCCUGAUCCAGCAAUGCCGCGUGCAGGAUGAAGGCCUUCGGGUUGUAAACUGCUUUUGUACGGAACGAAAAGGCUCUGGUUAAUACCUGGAGCAUAUGACGGUACCGUAAGAAUAAGCACCGGCUAACUACGUGCCAGCAGCCGCGGUAAUACGUAGGGUGCGAGCGUUAAUCGGAAUUACUGGGCGUAAAGCGUGCGCAGGCGGUUUUGUAAGACAGAGGUGAAAUCCCCGGGCUCAACCUGGGAACUGCCUUUGUGACUGCAAGGCUGGAGUGCGGCAGAGGGGGAUGGAAUUCCGCGUGUAGCAGUGAAAUGCGUAGAUAUGCGGAGGAACACCGAUGGCGAAGGCAAUCCCCUGGGCCUGCACUGACGCUCAUGCACGAAAGCGUGGGGAGCAAACAGGAUUAGAUA